AGAGUUUGAUCCUGGCUCAGAUUGAACGCUGGCGGCAGGCCUAACACAUGCAAGUCGAGCGGUAGAGAGGUGCUUGCACCUCUUGAGAGCGGCGGACGGGUGAGUAAUGCCUAGGAAUCUGCCUGGUAGUGGGGGAUAACGCUCGGAAACGGACGCUAAUACCGCAUACGUCCUACGGGAGAAAGCAGGGGACCUUCGGGCCUUGCGCUAUCAGAUGAGCCUAGGUCGGAUUAGCUAGUUGGUGGGGUAAUGGCUCACCAAGGCGACGAUCCGUAACUGGUCUGAGAGGAUGAUCAGUCACACUGGAACUGAGACACGGUCCAGACUCCUACGGGAGGCAGCAGUGGGGAAUAUUGGACAAUGGGCGAAAGCCUGAUCCAGCCAUGCCGCGUGUGUGAAGAAGGUCUUCGGAUUGUAAAGCACUUUAAGUUGGGAGGAAGGGCAUUAACCUAAUACGUUAGUGUUUUGACGUUACCGACAGAAUAAGCACCGGCUAACUUUUGUGCCAGCAGCCCGCGGUAAUACAAAANGGUGCCAAGCCGUUAAUCGG
Molecule: ribosomal RNA, 550 nt
Filed under: Pseudomonas fluorescens
Lineage: Bacteria; Pseudomonadati; Pseudomonadota; Gammaproteobacteria; Pseudomonadales; Pseudomonadaceae
Description: bacterial SSU rRNA
Rfam family: Bacterial small subunit ribosomal RNA
Source: RNAcentral